AUGAUGAAGUGGCACAAGGAAGGGAAAAGGUACAAUCCAAAAAAAAUUGUACAUACAUCAGAAGGUGAAGCAUGGAAGUCAUUCGAUAUAAAGUACCCGGAGGAAGCAGCCGAGGCUGGGAAUGUCAGAAUUGCUAUAACAGGUGAUGGGUUCAACCCAUAUGGUAUGUCGUCUAAUCCAUACAGCUGCUGGCCCAUAUUUGUUAUUCCGCUCAAUCUCCCUCCCGACGCCAUAAUGCAACGCAAGACCAUGUUUCUGUCGCUUAUAAUUCCUGGGCCUGAAUAUCCAGGGAAGAAUUUGAGUGUGUUUAUGCAGCCGUUGGUGGAUUAUUUGCACCAUUCUUGGUACUUCCCGAGGUUGACAUACGACCGACAUCUGCAGAAAAAUUUCUUGAUGAAAGUUUGGCUACAGUAUUGCAUGCAUGACUUUCCCGGCUAUGCCCUGUUCUGCGGAUGGUGUACAAGUGGAAAGAUGCCUUGCCCAGUGUGCAUGCAGGCCUUGAUUUUCAUUUGGAUGAAGAAGGGUGGCAAGUAUGUUGCCUUUGACCAGCAUCGACAAUUCCUCCCUCCAGACCAUCCUGAUAGGGAAGACAAGAAGAACUUCACAAAAGGCAAAGUUGUCCAUGAAGUAAAUGAGAUUCCAACGUUUUCUGGUGCGGAUGUGCUUGCUCAGCUCAAAGCUCUUAAGCCUGCCUGUGAAGGGAAAGGCAAAGGCAAAGGCAAAGGUAAAGGGAAAAAAUGUUUUGAAGGAUAUGGUGAGACGCACAACUGGACUCACAUUACCCUAUAA
Molecule: ribosomal RNA, 789 nt
Filed under: Triticum aestivum (bread wheat)
Lineage: Eukaryota; Viridiplantae; Streptophyta; Magnoliopsida; Poales; Poaceae
Description: partial small subunit ribosomal RNA
Source: RNAcentral